AAUUAUAUAGUUUAAAAUUAAAACAUUAUAUUUUCAUUAUAAAAAUAAUUAUUUUUAAUUUUUAAUUA
RNAcentral lists this transfer RNA (68 nucleotides) under Ibalia sp. ZJUH 20220011. Its description in RNAcentral is "tRNA-Glu". Lineage: Eukaryota; Metazoa; Arthropoda; Insecta; Hymenoptera; Ibaliidae. The record is from RNAcentral.